Molecule: long non-coding RNA, 860 nt
Filed under: Equus caballus (horse)
Lineage: Eukaryota; Metazoa; Chordata; Mammalia; Perissodactyla; Equidae
Description: lncRNA (ENSECAG00000039156.3)
Source: RNAcentral
GCUUCCUAUGCACUGAGGAACCUCCAGCUGGCUGGUACUUGAGUAGAAGGCAGACUGCAGACCCUGUUGGAGCAGCCACCCCAGAGAGACUCCACAGCAAAGGAGAGCAGGACAGAGGCAUGGCAGAAGGAGGACACUGUGGGAAAAGGGGCCUGAUGGAACUGAAGGGGUGGAGGAGGUACCAGUGAUAACCUGUCAUGAUCAGUUUUGUCCCGCAAUCAUCUGAUCUCGUAUCCUCGUCACUCCUUAUUCUGAUUGUGCCCAUUGGGCAAAGCAGACCGCAUCAUUUUACCCCAUGGAAACUGUGGGCCAGAAACUUGCCUCUGAGACCACACAAUUUAUCAGCGGAAAAGGACAAAACCCCCACUCCCACGUGCAUUUUUUUUUUUUUUCUGGAAGGACUGAAACCAGCAUAGCCAUGGCUACAAGCUUAGAGAUCAUCUGAGCCCAAACCACACUUCUUGGUGAUACACAGUCUGAACUUAAGUCUUCAACUAAAUUCAACAACCUUACUUUGUAAGCCAAAAUAGAGUUGAGCAUAGCCCUCACCUUCUGGUGUCUGCUUCUCUUUGUUUCAUUCAUAAGAGCAGAAGCUUAUUUUCCCAAUUUUUCUUUUGCUUUCAAGAAUCCUUCAUUCACUCAGCCAACAAAUGUUUUCUGAGUGUCUGUUGGGUAUUAGUACUCUGCAAUGUGCUAGAAAAAAGCUGGAUUGAUCUAGUUCCAUGAAUCAGGCAAGAGGAAAGCUCAUAAAGCGUGCAGACAAUUUCUAGAAUGGUACUGUGACGUUAUGGGAAAAAAUGUAGGCUUUGAAGUCAGAUACUAUUGAGUUUAAACUCCAACUCAAUUACUUACAGGUUUUG